Molecule: long non-coding RNA, 5670 nt
Filed under: Sorghum bicolor (sorghum)
Lineage: Eukaryota; Viridiplantae; Streptophyta; Magnoliopsida; Poales; Poaceae
Description: long non-coding RNA (SBIC_LNC004795)
Source: RNAcentral
GACACUAUAUUUUUUCUGAUCGAUUUUGAUAUAUGGAACAUUGAAAUCGAAGUUUGUAUGUGAAAGUUAUGGCUGUUUUACGAACGGACUCCGAAUUAGAGGACAAAACGGUCCGAAAGUGGGAAAAUUUUGCGGCGGUGGCAAGAAAUUGAUGGAAACGGUGGGGAAAACACAUGAACUGGACUCUAACAAGACCUAACCAGCAACAAGACCUCGACCAGAACACAAACUCAACACUGCGGACUCUGAAACUGAAAUAUGCAAAGGUUAUGGCGCGGAAGGGUUGUAGGACAGGAAAACGAUAUGGCACUGGACUUAUGGGACGAACACAAGAACACUCAAAACUAAGGGUAGAUGUGAACCUAACGGUAUACCUGAAGCUUUGAUUACCACUUGAUAAGAACAAGGAUGGUCCGAUCUUCUGAAAGGUUCUGGUAACUCUUGAUUUGGUGGAGACGAGACAUAAAUUGAUCCGGCUUCCGAACAACACGAUCCGAAACCCUGCAAAUUUUUUAUUUUUUUGAUAUUUUUCUAUUACUUAGGUGCACUAAAGAAGUAACCAUAGAAAAUUUGAGCUUAAACAAGUGAAAGACGUGGCCUGCAGAAUUUUGUGAAGAUUACAAAAAAUGUGAAAAAAACUUCACAAGGUGAAAACUCAAAAUUCGAAGACGAAUUUGGAGAUUCUAAAAUUUUCAAACCCCCUAAAACCGAGGACAGACAGACACUAUAUUUUUUCUCAUCGAUUUUGAUAUAUGGAACAUUGAAAUCGAAGUUUGUAUGUGAAAGUUAUGGCUGUUUUACGAACGGACUCCGAAUUAGAGGACAAAACGGUCCGGAAGUGGGAAUAAUUUGUGGUGGUGGCUAGAAAUUGAUGGAAAUGGUGGGCAAAAACAUACCAACUAGACUCUAACAAGACCUAACCAGCAACAUCCUCGACCAGGACACAAACUUAAAAUUGCGGACUCUGAAACUGAAAUAUGCAAAGGCUAUUGCGCGGAAGGGUUGUAGGACAAGAAAACGAUAUGGCACUGGACUUAUGGGACGAAUACAAGAACACUCGAAACUAAGGGUAGAUGUGAACCUAACGGUAUACCUGAAGCUUUAUUACCACUUGAUGAAAUCAAGGGUGGCCCGAUCUUUCGACAGGUUCUGGUAACUCUCGAUUUGGUGGAGACGAGACAUAAAUCAAUGCGGCUUCCAAACAACGCGAUCUGAAACCCUGCAAUUUUUUUAUUUUAUUGAUAUUUUUAUUUUACUUAGGAGCAUUAAAGAAGUAACCAUAGAAAAUUUGAGCUUAAACAAGUAAAUGACGUGGCCUGCUGAAUUUUCUGAAGAUUGCGAAAAAUGUGAAAAAAACUUCACAAGGUGAAAACUCAAACUUCGGAGGUGAAUUUGGAGAAUCUAAAACUUUCAAAGCCGCAAAUAGCAGUGACAGACAGAUCCGAAUUUUUUUGAUCGAUUUUGAUAUAUCGAACAUUGAAAUCGGAGUUUGUAUGUGCAAGUUAUGGCUGUUUUACGAACGGACUCCGAAUUAGAGGACAAAACGGUCCGAAAGUGGGAAAAACUUGCAGCGAUGGCUAGAAACUGAUGGAAACGUUGGGGAAAAAACACGAACUGAACUCUAACAAGACCUAACCAGCAACAAGACCUCGACCAGGACACAAACUCAAAACUGCAGACUCGGAAACUGAAAUAUGCAAAGGCUAUGGCGCGGAAGGGUUGUAGGACACAAAAACGAUAUGGCACUGGACUUAUGGGACGAACACAAGAACACUCGAAACUAAGGGUAGAUGUGAACCUAAAUAUAUACCUGAAGCUUUGAUUACUACUUGAUGAGAACAAGGGUGGCCCGAUCUUCCGAAAGGUUCUGUUAACUCUCGAUUUAGUGGAGACGAGACACAAAUCGAUCCGGCUUCCGAACAACACGAAGGCAAACCCUGCAAUUUUUUUAUUUUUUUAUGUUUUUCUUUUACUUAGGUGCACUAAAGAAGUAACCACAGAAAAUUUGAGCUUAAACAAGUGAAAGACGUGGCUUGCAGAAUUUUCUAUAGAUUGUGAAAAAUGUGAAAAAAACUUCACGAGGUGAAAACUUAAACUUCGGAGGUGUAUUUGGAAGUUCUAAAUUUUUCAAACCCGCUUGUGGUAGGGACAGGCAAACCCGAAAUUUUUUCUGAUUGAUUUUGAUAUAUGGAACGUUGAAAUCGGAGUUCGUACGCGAAUGUUAUGGCUAUUUUACAAACGAACUGCGAAUUAGAGUACAAAACGGUCCGAAAGUGGGAAAAAUUUGCGGCGGUGCCCAGAAAUUGAUGGAAACGGUGGGGAAAAACAUACUAACUGGACUCUAACAAGACCUAACCAGCAACAACCUCGACCAGGACACAAACUCAAAACAACGGACUCUGAAUCUGAAAUAUGGAAAAGCUAUGGCGCGGAAGGGUUGUAGAACAGGAAAACAAUAUGGCACUGGACUCAUGGGACGAACAUAAGAACACAAGAAACUAAGGGUAGAUGUGAACCUAACGGUACACCUAAAGCUUUGAUUACCACUUGAUGAGAACAAGGGUGGCCCGAUCUUCCGAAAGGUUUUGGUAACUCUCGAUUUGGUGGAGAUGAGACACAAAUCGAUACGGCUUAUGAACAACACGAUCCGAAACCCUACAUUUUUUUUAUUUUUUUGAUAUUUUUAUUUUACUUAGGAGCACUAAAGGAGUAACCACAGAAAAUUUGAGCUUAAACAAGUGAAAGACAUGGCCUGUUGAAUUUCUCAAGAUUGUGAAAAAUGUGAAAAGAACUUCACGUAUUGGAAACUCAAACUUCGGAGGCGAAUUUCAAGAUUCUAAAAUUGUCAAACACGCAAAAGUGAGGGACAAACAUAUCUCAAAUUUUUUCUUAUCGAUUUUGAUAUAUGGAACGUUGAAAUCGGAGUUCGUAUGCGAAAGUUAUGGCUGUUUUACGAACAGACUCCGAAUUAGAGGACAAAACGAUCCGAAAGUGGGAAUAAUUCGCGGUGGUGGCUAGAAAUUGAUGGAAAUGGUGGGGAAAAACAUACGAACUAGACUCUAACAAGACCUAACCAGCAACAUCCUCGACCAAGACACAAACUCAAAAUUGCGGACUCUGAAACUGAAAUAUGCAAAGGCUAUUGCGCGGAAGGGUUGUAGAACAAGAAAACGAUAUGGCACUGGACUUAUGGGACGAAUACAAGAACACUCGAAACUAAGUGUAGAUGUGAACCUAACGGUAUACCUGAAGCUUUAUUACCACUUGAUGAGAUCAAGGGUGGCCCGAUCUUUCGACAGGUUCUGGUAACUCUCGAUUUGGUGGAGACGAGACACAAAUCAAUGCGGCUUCCAAACAACGCGAUCUGAAACCCUGCAAUUUUUUUAUUUUAUUGAUAUUUUUAUUUUACUUAGGAGCAUUAAAGAAGUAACCAUAAAAAAUUUGAGCUUAAACAAGUAAAAGACGUUUCCUGCAGAAUUUUCUGAAGAUCGCAAAAAAUGUGAAAAAAACAUCACAAGGUGAAAACUGAAACUUCGGAGGUGAAUUUGGAGAUUCUAAAACUUUCAAACCCGUAAAUAGCAGUAACAGACAGAUCCGAAUUUUUUUGAUCGAUUUUGAUAUAUGGAACAUUAAAAUCGGAGUUUGUAUGUGCAAGUUAUAGCUGUUUUACGAACGGACUCUGAAUCAGAGGACAAAACGGUCCGAAAGUGGGAAAAAGUUGCAGCGAUGGCUAGAAAUUGAUGGAAACGUUCGGAAAAAAACACGAACUAGACUCUAACAAGACCUAACCAGCAACAAGUCCUCGACCAGGACACAAACUCAAAACUGCAGACUCGGAAACUGAUAUAAAAAGGCUAUGGCGCGGAAGGGUUGUAGGACACAAAAACGAUAUGGCACUGGACUUAUGGGACGAACACAAGAACACUCGAAACUAAGGGUAGAUGUGAACCUAACGGUAUACCUGAAGCUUCGAUUACCACUUGAUGAGAACAAGGGUGGCCGGAUCUUCUGAAAGGUUCUGUUAACUCUCGAUUUGGUGGAGACGAGACACAAAUCGAUCCGGCUUCCGAACAACACGAAGGCAAACCCUGCAAUUUUUUUUAUUUUUUUGAUAUUUUUCUUUUACUUAGGUGCACUAAAGAAGUAACCACAGAAAAUUUGAGCUUAAUCAAGUGAAAGACGUGGCCUGCAGAAUUUUGUAAAGAUUGUGAAAAAUGUGAAAAAAAACUUCACAAGGUGAUAACUUAAACUUCGGAGGUGUAUUUGGAAAUUUUAAAAUUUUCAAUCCCGCUAGUGGUAGGGACAGGCAAACCCGAAAUUUUUUCUGAUUGAUUUUGAUAUAUGGAACAUUGAAAUCGGAGUUCGUACGCGAAUGUUAUGGCUAUUUUACGAACAGACUCCGAAUUAGAGAACAAAACGGUCCGAAAGUGGGAAAAAUUUGCGGCGGUGGCUAGAAAUUGAUGGAAACCUGCGGACUUUGAAUGUGAAAUAUGCAAAAGCUAUGGCGCGGAAGGGUUGUAGAAUAGGAAAAUAAUAUGGCACUGGACUUAUGGGACGAACACAAGAACACUCGAAACUAAGGGUAGAUGUGAACCUAACGGUAUACCUAAAGCUUUGAUUACCACUUGAUGAGAACAAGGAUGGCCCGAUCUUCCGAAAGGUUCUGGUAACUCUCGAUUUGGUGGAGACGAGACACAAAUCGAUACGGCUUCUGAACAACACAAUCUGAAACCCUUCAUUUUUUUAUUUUUUUGAUAUUUUUAUUUUACUUAGGAGCACUAAAGGAGUAACCACAUAAAAUUUGAGCUUAAACAAGUGAAAGACAUGGCCUGUGGAAUUUCUGAAGAUUGUGAAAAAUGUGAAAAGAACUUCACGUAUUGGAAACUCAAACUUCGGAGGCGAAUUUCAGGAUUCUAAAGUGGUCAAACCCGCGAAAGUUAGGGACAAACAGACCUGAAAUUUUUUUCUGAUCGAUUUUGAUAUAUGGAACGUUGAAAUCGGAGUUCGUAUGCAAAAGUUAUGGCUGUUUUACGAACAGACUCCGAAUUAGAGGACAAAACGGUCCGAAAGUGGGAAAAAUUUGCGGCGGUGGCUAGAAAUUGAUGGAAACGGUGGGGAAAACACAUGAACUGGACUCUAACAAGACCUAACCAGCAACAAGACCUCGACCAGGACACAAACUCAACACUGCGGACUCUGAAACUGAAAUAUGCAAAGGCUAUGGCGUGGAAGGGUUGUAGGAUGGAAAAACGAUAUGGCACUGGACUUAUGGGACGAACACAACACUCAAAACUAAGGGUAGAUGUGAACCUAAUGGUAUACCUGAAGCUUUGAUUACCACUUGAUGAGAACAAGGGUGGCCCGAUCUUCUGAAUGGUUCUGGUAACUCUCGAUUUGGUGAAGACGAGACACAAAUCGAUCUGGCUUCCGAACAACACGAUCCGAAAUCCCGCAUUUUUUUAUUUUUUUAAUAUUUUCCUUUUACUUAGGAGCACUAAAGAAGUAACCAUAGAAAAAUUGAGCUUAAACAAGUAAAAGACGUGGCCUGCGGAAUUUUGUGAAGAUUACAAAAAAUGUGAAAAAAACUUCACAAGGUGAAAACUCAAACUUCGAAGACGAAUUUGGAGAUUCUAAAAUUUUCAAACCCCCUAAAACCGAGGACACACAGAC